AGCGAACGCUGGCGGCAGGCCUAACACAUGCAAGUCGAACGAACCUUUCGGGGUUAGUGGCGGACGGGUGAGUAACACGUGGGAACGUGCCUUUAGGUUCGGAAUAACUCAGGGAAACUUGUGCUAAUACCGAAUGUGCCCUUCGGGGGAAAGAUUUAUCGCCUUUAGAGCGGCCCGCGUCUGAUUAGCUAGUUGGUUGAGGUAAUGGCUCACCAAGGCGACGAUCAGUAGCUGGUCUGAGAGGAUGAUCAGCCACAUUGGGACUGAGACACGGCCCAAACUCCUACGUGAGGCAGCAGUGGGGAAUCUUGCGAAAUGGGCGAAAGCCUGACGCAGCCAUGCCGCGUGAAUGAUGAAGGUCUUAGGAUUGUAAAAUUCUUUCACCGGGGACGAUAAUGACGGUACCCGGAGAAGAAGCCCCGGCUAACUUCGUG
Molecule: ribosomal RNA, 434 nt
Filed under: uncultured bacterium
Lineage: Bacteria
Description: partial 16S ribosomal RNA
Rfam family: Bacterial small subunit ribosomal RNA
Source: RNAcentral